RNAcentral lists this ribosomal RNA (492 nucleotides) under uncultured bacterium. RNAcentral's name for it is "partial 16S ribosomal RNA". It matches the Rfam family "Bacterial small subunit ribosomal RNA", at positions 29 to 507 of the family's 1533-position model. The record is from RNAcentral.
AGUGAACGCUGGCGGUAUGCCUAACACAUGCAAGUCGAACGGCAGCACCGUAAGUGCUUGCUCUUAUGGGUGGCGAGUGGCGGACGGGUGAGGAGUACAUCGUGAUCUACUUUUUGGUGGGGGAUAACGAAGGGAAACUUACGCUCAUACCGCAUAUGACCUACGGGUGAAAGCAGUGGAUAUUCGGAUCUUGCGCGGUUGAAUGAGCGGGUGUUGGGUUAGCUAGUUGGCGGGGUAAAGGCCCACCUAGGCGAGGAUCCGUAGCGGGUCUGAGAGGAGGGUCACCCACACGAGAACAGAAACACGGUCCAGACUCCUACGGGAGGGAGCAGAGAGGAAUAUUGGGCAAUGGGGGCGAGCCUGAUGCAGUCAUACCGCGUGGGUGAAGAAGACCUUCGGGUUGUGAAGACCUUCUGUGGGUAAAGAAACGCAGCAGGUUAAGACACCGCUGUUGUGACGGUACCCAAAGAAGAAGCACCGGCUAACUACGUG